RNAcentral lists this ribosomal RNA (254 nucleotides) under uncultured bacterium. Its description in RNAcentral is "partial 16S ribosomal RNA". It matches the Rfam family "Bacterial small subunit ribosomal RNA", at positions 524 to 776 of the family's 1533-position model. The record is from RNAcentral.
UACAGAGGGUGCGAGCGUUAAUCGGAAUUACUGGGCGUAAAGCGUGCGCAGGCGGUUAUUUAAGUCAGGUGUGAAAGCCCUGGGCUUAACCUAGGAAUUGCGCUUGAGACUGGAUAGCUUGGAGUGCGGCAGAGGGAGGUGGAAUUCCACGUGUAGCAGUGAAAUGCGUAGAGAUCGGGCGGAACACCAGCGGCGAAGGCGGCGACCUGGCCCUGACCUGACGCUGAGGCGCGAGAGCGUGGGGAGCGAACGGG